AAGUGGAGCAAUCCAUGAGUAAAGUGGCGACCGGGUGAGUAACACGUGACUAACCUACCUUCGAGUGGGGGAUAACCUCGGGAAACCGAGGCUAAUACCGCAUAACAUCGCAAGAUCAAAGCAGCAAUGCGCUGGAAGAGGGGGUCGCGGCUGAUUAGCUAGUUGGCGGGGUAAUGGCCCACCAAGGCUAAGAUCGGUAUCCGGCCUGAGAGGGCGCACGGCCACACUGGAACUGAAACACGGUCCAGACUCCUACGGGAGGCAGCAGUGGGGAAUUUUGCGCAAUGGGGGAAACCCUGACGCAGCAACGCCGCGUGGAGGAUGAAGCCCCUUGGG
This 336-nucleotide ribosomal RNA is filed under the name uncultured bacterium. Its description in RNAcentral is "bacterial SSU rRNA". It matches the Rfam family "Bacterial small subunit ribosomal RNA", at positions 72 to 422 of the family's 1533-position model. The record is from RNAcentral.